UUAGCCCUAAAUCAAGGCCUGCAGUUUGUUGCAGCUGCUGGUUUCAAACGGGAGCCUAAAAAUAAGUCUUUCUAGGAUCUGUUAGCCAUUUCAGAACUUUGGAAAUUUAAUGGUCAAUACAUUAGAAAAAAAUAGCU
This is a small nucleolar RNA of Cavia porcellus (domestic guinea pig), 137 nucleotides long. The record is from Ensembl. NCBI's taxonomy places the organism in Eukaryota, Metazoa, Chordata, Mammalia, Rodentia, Caviidae.